UAGGGAAUCUUCGGCAAUGGGGGGAACCCUGACCGAGCAACGCCGCGUGAGUGAAGAAGGUUUUCGGAUCGUAAAGCUCUGUUGUUAAGGAAGAACGAGUGUGAGAAUGGAAAGUUCAUGCUGUGACGGUACUUAACCAGAAAGGGACGGCUAACUACGUGCCAGCAGCCGCGGUAAUACGUAGGGGGCUAGCGUUGUCCGGAAUCACUGGGCGUAAAGGGUUCGCAGGCGGCAAUGCAAGUCAGAUGUAAAAGGCAAAGGCUCAACCUUUGUAAGCAUCUGAAACUGUAUAGCUUGAGAAGUGUAGAGGCAAGUGGAAUUUUUAGUGUAGCGGUGAAAUGCGUAGAUAUUAAAAAGAAUACCGGUGGCGAAGGCGACUUGCUGGGCACAAUCUGACGCUGAGGAACGAAAGCGUGGGGAGCAAACAGG
RNAcentral lists this ribosomal RNA (429 nucleotides) under Verrucomicrobiota bacterium. Its description in RNAcentral is "Verrucomicrobia bacterium partial 16S ribosomal RNA". It matches the Rfam family "Bacterial small subunit ribosomal RNA", at positions 355 to 776 of the family's 1533-position model. Lineage: Bacteria; Pseudomonadati; Verrucomicrobiota. The record is from RNAcentral.